GCCGGUCUAAGUCCCUUGGAACAGGGCGUCACAGAGGGUGAGAAUCCCGUACGUGACCGGCGACUAACCCCAUGUGAAACCCCUUCGACGAGUCGAGUUGUUCGGGAAUGCAGCUCAAAAUGGGUGGUAAAUUUCAUCUAAAGCUAAAUACCGGCCAGAGACCGAUAGCGCACAAGUAGAGUGAUCGAAAGAUGAAAAGCACUUUGGAAAGAGAGUCAAACAGUACGUGAAAUUGUAGAAAGGGAAGCGCUUGCAACCAGACCUGUCCGCCGGCGAUCAACCUCCGUUCUCGGUGGUGCACUCGCCGGCGAUCAGGCCAGCAUCGGUUCGGGCGGUGGGAUAAAGGCCCUGGGAAUGUGGCUCCCUUCGGGGAGUGUUAUAGCCC
This 385-nucleotide ribosomal RNA is filed under the name Palicella filamentosa. Its description in RNAcentral is "eukaryotic LSU rRNA". It matches the Rfam family "Eukaryotic large subunit ribosomal RNA", at positions 175 to 564 of the family's 3401-position model. Lineage: Eukaryota; Fungi; Ascomycota; Lecanoromycetes; Lecanorales; Lecanoraceae. The record is from RNAcentral.